RNAcentral lists this transfer RNA (64 nucleotides) under Dielma fastidiosa. Its description in RNAcentral is "tRNA-Lys". It matches the Rfam family "tRNA", at positions 5 to 66 of the family's 71-position model. From Rfam's summary of the family: Transfer RNA (tRNA) molecules are approximately 80 nucleotides in length. Their secondary structure includes four short double-helical elements and three loops (D, anti-codon, and T loops). Further hydrogen bonds mediate the characteristic L-shaped molecular structure. tRNAs have two regions of fundamental functional importance: the anti-codon, which is responsible for specific mRNA codon recognition, and the 3' end, to which the tRNAs corresponding amino acid is attached (by aminoacyl-tRNA synthetases). tRNAs cope with the degeneracy of the genetic code in two manners: having more than one tRNA (with a specific anti-codon) for a particular amino acid; and 'wobble' base-pairing, i.e. permitting non-standard base-pairing at the 3rd anti-codon position. Lineage: Bacteria; Bacillati; Bacillota; Erysipelotrichia; Erysipelotrichales; Erysipelotrichaceae. The record is from RNAcentral.
CGUUAGCUCAGAUGGUAGAGCAUUUGACUUUUAAUCAAAGGGUCUGGAGUUCGAAUCUCCAACG